Molecule: ribosomal RNA, 518 nt
Filed under: Bacteroides mediterraneensis
Lineage: Bacteria; Pseudomonadati; Bacteroidota; Bacteroidia; Bacteroidales; Bacteroidaceae
Description: bacterial SSU rRNA
Rfam family: Bacterial small subunit ribosomal RNA
Source: RNAcentral
UUUUACAAUGAAGAGUUUGAUCCUGGCUCAGGAUGAACGCUAGCUACAGGCUUAACACAUGCAAGUCGAGGGGCAGCAUGGACUUAGCUUGCUAAGUUUGAUGGCGACCGGCGCACGGGUGAGUAACGCGUAUCCAACCUUCCGUACACUCAGGAAUAGCCUUUCGAAAGAAAGAUUAAUACCUGAUGGUAUGAUGAGAUUGCAUGAAAUCAUCAUUAAAGAUUCAUCGGUGUACGAUGGGGAUGCGUUCCAUUAGAUAGUAGGCGGGGUAACGGCCCACCUAGUCGACGAUGGAUAGGGGUUCUGAGAGGAAGGUCCCCCACAUUGGAACUGAGACACGGUCCAAACUCCUACGGGAGGCAGCAGUGAGGAAUAUUGGUCAAUGGGCGCGAGCCUGAACCAGCCAAGUAGCGUGAAGGAUGAAGGUCCUACGGAUUGUAAACUUCUUUUAUAAGGGAAUAAAGUCACCUACGUGUAGGUGUUUGUAUGUACCUUAUGAAUAAGCAUCGGCUAACUCC